This 477-nucleotide ribosomal RNA is filed under the name Triticum aestivum (bread wheat). RNAcentral describes it as "partial small subunit ribosomal RNA". Lineage: Eukaryota; Viridiplantae; Streptophyta; Magnoliopsida; Poales; Poaceae. The record is from RNAcentral.
AUGAAAAUGGCGACUUGCAUUUGUAAGGUGGCCUCGGAGGAGUUUGGAGUGUCCAGGGGAAGGAGAAGCAAAGAUAAAGAUACCUGGUGGUGGAAUGAUGAUGUCCAGAAGGCGAUUAAAGAGAAGAAAGAUUGCUUCAGACGCCUAUACCUGGAUAGGAGUGCAGACAACAUAGAGAAGUACAAGAUGGCGAAGAAGGCCGCAAAGCGAGCUGUUGGUGAAGCAAGGGGUCGGGCAUAUGAGGACCUCUACCAACGGUUAGGCACGAAGGAAGGUGAAAGGGACAUCUAUAAGAUGGCUAAGAUCCGAGAGAGGAAGACGAGGGAUAUUGGCCAGGUCAAAUGCAUCAAGGACGGAGCAGGCCAACUCUUGGUGAAGGACGAGGAGAUUAAGCAUAGAUGGCGGGAGUACUUUGACAAGCUGUUCAAUGGGGAGAAUGAGAGUUCUACCAUUGAACUGGAUGACUCCUUUGAUUAG